UAAUGAGGCUUUAUGAGGAGGGCUGUUUUGUCCCAGAGAAACCUUUUCAUUUGCCUUGGACAAGCUAAAGGCUGCAAGAGGUACAACAUAUCCCUCCAUUCUGUGGCAGACAGCUAUGUUGGUACAAAGCUGGGAGAGGUGGGUGAUACAUCAGAGGGUUGUUAGGCCUGUCAGAUGGACCUGUGCAGGCUGGACAAUUGGAUCAAAGGAACCUCAUGGAGUCCAACCAUCAAAAUGAAGAGUUACUUUUCUGGGAAGGCAUUAUCAACCCCAUGUACCAAUAUCGACCUGGAAGUGACAAUUUGGAAAGAAACCCUUCAGAGAAGAACAUGAAGGUUUUGGUAGCCAACAGGUUGAGCAUGAGACAGCAACAUGCCCUUCAGCCAAUGGUGUUCUGACUUACAUUAGCCAGAACAUUGCCAGCAGGUUGAAGAAGAUGAUCCUCCCCCUCUACUCAGCAGUAGUGAGGCCUCAGCUGGAGUGCUGUGUCCAGUUCUGGACUUCCCAGUACAAGAGACAAAGAACUGCUGGAGAGGGUCCAGUAAAGGGCUAUGAAGAUGA
Long non-coding RNA from Cyanistes caeruleus (blue tit), 561 nucleotides. RefSeq lists it as uncharacterized. Lineage: Eukaryota; Metazoa; Chordata; Aves; Passeriformes; Paridae. The record is from RefSeq and is a predicted model, not a curated record.